RNAcentral lists this long non-coding RNA (1965 nucleotides) under Cucumis sativus (cucumber). RNAcentral's name for it is "long non-coding RNA (CSAT_LNC001244)". The record is from RNAcentral. Lineage: Eukaryota; Viridiplantae; Streptophyta; Magnoliopsida; Cucurbitales; Cucurbitaceae.
UAUAACAAUCCUCUCCAACCCUUUCUUUGUUCAGGUUUUGUUUUCCUUUUUAGUUUUCCAUUCUUUUUAUUUCCUUUAUAUAUAUACACACACACAAAUACUUGUUUGUUGGACAUGAUGUUAAUUAUUGUUGAUAUACCCUUGUUGUUGUUGCUGCUGCAAAUCAAUGGUGAAAAGAAAAUGCAAUGAGAAAGUUAAAUCAAAUAUUCCAAUAGACACAUCGUUUUUUAACACAACUUUUUCUUUUUUAUGGCAUUAAAUUAGGUAUCACAUGAACAAUUGUCUUUUAUGAUAGGAUGGACUACUAAGUUGUUAAUGCAUUUCAACCUCAAAAUUCUUGCUACAACUUACCAUUUUUUGUUUUGAAAAACUAACAUAUUCCUUUGUUAACUAUUUUGAUUUUUGUUUUUGGGUGAAACAAUGUGCAAAGGGCACAUGAGGGGUUUCUUUAUUGUUUGUUAUACUUUAUUUAUUAGAAAAAAGAUACGUUGAGUCAUUUGGAUACACUUGGACAUCUACAUUAAGUGGACACUCCGGUCAUAACACUCUCAUCACUCUCGCUUCAUUAAUAUAGUAGAACAAGAACACAGAAAGUCGGAAGAAAAUGGCUAAAGAUAAGCUCGCAUAGAGUUAGACAAAAGCAUUGAUAUUUAAAGCAAUAGAACUACCACUAUUGUUUUUAAAGAGAUUUGAUCUACUAGUCCAAAAGCAUGAAUGUCAUCCCAAAUCUCGACAUUGCUUUUUUCAACCCCUUGAAUAUUCUAUUGCUUCUCUCAAUCCAGAUAAUUCAUAAAGCCACAGCAAUAGUGUUGAAAGUAAUGACCGUUUUCUGUUAUUUAUAUUAGUAUUGCACACAUCUUUGCAAAGAGCAGCCAUGCAUAUUGGAGAAGUUGUGAUUCCAAUUCAUCACAAUUAAUAUAUCUUUAUCCACAACCUUGUAGUGAAAGAGCAGUGGAAAAGGUGAUCCAAGUCUUUCAAUUGGUUUUUUCACAGAACACGUCAAUAUGAGCUGAUAUUCUAGGAGGGAAACCUCUUUUGGAGCUUGUCGGCAGGGUACAUACAUUCAUGAAUCAAAGUCCAAAUCAAAAACUUACAUUUUUUUUGGUAUAUUGGAUUUACAUAGAGUUUUGUAAGUGAUUGAACUUAUUUCAGAUGCUUCAAUCAGAGUGUUCAAGAGGAGAGCCUUUUUAGCUAAUGACGUGUCGAACCUGCCAUUUGUGUUAAUUAAGUUUCCAUAUGGAAAUAUCGUUACCCCUGUUUGGAUUUGGUGCAGUGAAGAUUGCUUUUAUGUUGUCCCAAAUUUGAAUUUCAUGGCUUCUAAAGGGGCCGGCGAGCUUGAAUAUCCCAUUCAGGAGUAGCCGAAUUUCAAAAGUCUUUUACUCUUCCUUGUUGGUUCUUUGAGAGAGCAUAUAGUCUAGGCACAGAGGUCGCAAGAGGAGAUUUAUUAUUCCAUAGCCUAUUCCAAAAAGAAACUGAAUCAUCACAGUUAAUUUUUCAAGUGUGUUGUCCAUUGAACCAGUCGAUGGCUUUAAUCAUGGUACUCCAAGGUGCUUUAGAAUUGCUAUAUCUGCCUUUGAUAGGGAAAUCGCCAUUGGAAGCCUGCUUAUAUUUUGCACUCCAUGGGGAUUAUUGUUUGGUUAUAUAUAUAAUUCAAUUUGAUUAAACAAAGGUUGGGCUUGGCAUAGUGGUUUUUUAUUCCGUUUGACUCUUAACUUUCGGUUUUCUUAAUUCUAUUCAUAUUGUUUUUUUUUAAAAAAAAAAAUCGAUUGAACAAAAAAAAAAAUCAGUGUUGAAAAGUUAAUUUUAAUUAGAAUUUUUCUCACAUAUAUAAAUAAAUUUCAGCUUUAAUUCUUCCUUUUCUGUUUCUGUUUGCCCUGCUAGGAAUGUUUCUUAUUUUGAUUAAGAAGAUAUAUAUGAGGCGAAAUUUUCAAACUUAUAAGAGAUUAAUAAAUGGUUUAAAUCACA